UGGGGAAUAUUGCACAAUGGGCGCAAGCCUGAUGCAGCCAUGCCGCGUGUGUGAAGAAGGCCUUCGGGUUGUAAAGCACUUUCAGCGGGGAGGAAGGCGAUAAGGUUAAUAACCUCAUCGAUUGACGUUACCCGCAGAAGAAGCACCGGCUAACUCCGUGCCAGCAGCCGCGGUAAUACGGAGGGUGCAAGCGUUAAUCGGAAUUACUGGGCGUAAAGCGCACGCAGGCGGUCUGUCAAGUCGGAUGAGAAAUCCCCGGGCUCAACCUGGGAACUGCAUUCGAAACUGGCAGGCUAGAGUCUUGUAGAGGGGGGUAGAAUUCCAGGUGUAGCGGUGAAAUGCGUAGAGAUCUGGAGGAAUACCGGUGGCGAAGGCGGCCCCCUGGACAAAGACUGACGCUCAGGUGCGAAAGCGUGGGGAGCAAACAGG
RNAcentral lists this ribosomal RNA (429 nucleotides) under Chloroflexota bacterium. RNAcentral describes it as "Chloroflexi bacterium partial 16S ribosomal RNA". It matches the Rfam family "Bacterial small subunit ribosomal RNA", at positions 355 to 776 of the family's 1533-position model. Lineage: Bacteria; Bacillati; Chloroflexota. The record is from RNAcentral.